This is a long non-coding RNA of Tachysurus fulvidraco (yellow catfish), 320 nucleotides long. RefSeq lists it as uncharacterized. Lineage: Eukaryota; Metazoa; Chordata; Actinopteri; Siluriformes; Bagridae. The transcript has 3 exons. The record is from RefSeq and is a predicted model, not a curated record.
UUUCACAGAACCUCUUCAAGAUAUACAGUACUUACUGUCAUGUCCCUUAAAAGAUUUUAUGGUAUUCUGUACAUCAUGCACCUAACUUUUCCUCAGGCACAAAGUGAAAUUGACUCCUGGGACUCAGAAGAAAGGAAAAGCUGCCCGGACCGCUGUGUUUAGCUUCAUGCAUGCUAAAGAAACCAUUGCCAGAGAGAAAGACCUGUUCCGCAGCGUGAAGGACACUGAUCUUUCAAGAAACAUGCCUGGCAAAGUGAAAGUAUCUGCUCCAAACCUUUUGGCAGCAAAGAAGACUGACUUCAUUCCUUUACAGUUUGUAG